Molecule: ribosomal RNA, 253 nt
Filed under: uncultured bacterium
Lineage: Bacteria
Description: partial 16S ribosomal RNA
Rfam family: Archaeal small subunit ribosomal RNA
Source: RNAcentral
UACCAGCACCCCGAGUGGUCGGGACGAUUAUUGGGCCUAAAGCAUCCGUAGCUUGUUCUGCAAGUCCUCCGUUAAAUCCACCUGCUCAACAGAUGGGCUGCGGGGGAUACUACAGGGCUAGGAGGCGGGAGAGGCAAACGGUACUCAGUGGGUAGGGGUAAAAUCCUCUGAUCCAUUGAAGACCACCAGUGGCGAAGGCGGCUUGCCAGAACGCGCUCGACGGUGAGGGAUGAAAGCUGGGGGAGCAAACCGG